UACGUAGGUGGCAAGCGUUGUCCGGAAUUAUUGGGCGUAAAGCGCGCGCAGGCGGUCCUUUAAGUCUGAUGUGAAAGCCCACGGCUCAACCGUGGAGGGUCAUUGGAAACUGGGGGACUUGAGUGCAGAAGAGGAGAGUGGAAUUCCACGUGUAGCGGUGAAAUGAGUAGAGAUGUGGAGGAACACCAGUGGCGAAGGCGACUCUCUGGUCUGUAACUGACGCUGAGGCGCGAAAGCGUGGGGAGCAAACAGG
This 253-nucleotide ribosomal RNA is filed under the name uncultured bacterium. RNAcentral's name for it is "partial 16S ribosomal RNA". It matches the Rfam family "Bacterial small subunit ribosomal RNA", at positions 524 to 776 of the family's 1533-position model. The record is from RNAcentral.